This 383-nucleotide ribosomal RNA is filed under the name Staphylococcus aureus. Its description in RNAcentral is "bacterial SSU rRNA". It matches the Rfam family "Bacterial small subunit ribosomal RNA", at positions 1152 to 1533 of the family's 1533-position model. The record is from RNAcentral. Lineage: Bacteria; Bacillati; Bacillota; Bacilli; Caryophanales; Staphylococcaceae.
CCGGUGACAAACCGGAGGAAGGUGGGGAUGACGUCAAAUCAUCAUGCCCCUUAUGAUUUGGGCUACACACGUGCUACAAUGGACAAUACAAAGGGCAGCGAAACCGCGAGGUCAAGCAAAUCCCAUAAAGUUGUUCUCAGUUCGGAUUGUAGUCUGCAACUCGACUACAUGAAGCUGGAAUCGCUAGUAAUCGUAGAUCAGCAUGCUACGGUGAAUACGUUCCCGGGUCUUGUACACACCGCCCGUCACACCACGAGAGUUUGUAACACCCGAAGCCGGUGGAGUAACCUUUUAGGAGCUAGCCGUCGAAGGUGGGACAAAUGAUUGGGGUGAAGUCGUAACAAGGUAGCCGUAUCGGAAGGUGCGGCUGGAUCACCUCCUUU